AAGUCGUAACAAGGUAUCCGUAGGUGAACCUGCGGAUGGAUCAUUCAAAGGUGAAAAUGGCCCUUGGGCUGUUUUUGUUUUGUGCAAUGUAACGUGUGAGUGUGUGCCUCUAUUUGUGAGGCAUACGCAUCAUUUUUUUACCCAUUCAAUCUUACCGAACUUAUUAAACAAAGAACCUUGAAAACUGCCAGCAAUGGAUCCCUCGGUUCUC
Molecule: unclassified non-coding RNA, 211 nt
Filed under: fungal sp.
Lineage: Eukaryota; Fungi
Description: partial internal transcribed spacer region
Rfam family: Eukaryotic small subunit ribosomal RNA (bases 1-46)
Source: RNAcentral